AGCUUCAGCCGCCAGGCCCAAACUCUCUGGCAAGUCAUGAUAAUGGCCACUACCCCACUCCACUCUCUGUAAAAGAUUUCAUGUGGCCCCGCCACUCUCUGGCAAGUCGCGACAACGGACACCACUCCACUCUCCAUAACAAACUCCACGUGGCUCUGAAUGGCCCACUAAUGCCACUACUCUCUGCAACAAACUCUGCGUGGCCACGAACGGCCCACUAUCAGGUGGUUACAAACGUCGCUGUCGAUCAAUUACACUCUCCAUCUAUAAAAAGGGAACCCCC
RNAcentral lists this long non-coding RNA (283 nucleotides) under Elaeis guineensis (African oil palm). Its description in RNAcentral is "long non-coding RNA (EGUI_LNC076448)". The record is from RNAcentral. Lineage: Eukaryota; Viridiplantae; Streptophyta; Magnoliopsida; Arecales; Arecaceae.